UGUGAAUUAAAUCUCAAUAAAGCUUUUUUAAAUUUUUUUUUUUUUAGAAAAAGAUUACUAAAGCAUGAUUCCUAAAUAUCUCACUUAGGGAAUUGAAUGGAUGAUGGUGCCACUUACUAUAUGGGGAGCAGAGAAAGAUGAAUAGGUCUGGAAGGACAGCUACUGAAUUCAGCUUCAGACAGGCUGUAAAUUGUAACUGAAGCUAUGGAAGGGAUAAAGUUACAAAGAUGGAGACAAGCCCAUAAAGUAGAGUCAAGGCCAUAUUCACUUUCCUGCAUAUAAUCCUGAAAUUCUAAAUGAAAAUAAAUUGAGUUUCCAAGUUUUUUUAAUACUAGCUGAAAUGUCCCUUUGCUUUCUACUUUAUUGUUAAAAGAUAUGUGAUUAGUUUAUCACAACCAAUACUCAAUGGAAUGUUAAUUUGAAUUUAAUAUAAUGGUCAUCACCAGAUACUAAGAGAGUAACAAAGUCUAACUAUUUUCAAACUUUUAUCUGGAAAUUAGUGUUAACGAGUCACCUUUGGACACCAGUGACAGAAAAAAAAAAAAUCUCCUCUAUGACUGUCUUCCCUCUGAGGGCUUAUGGAAGGUUGACCUAUUUAUAGGUCAACCUUCCAUAAGGAUGUGAUUGAAUAAGGUGUCCAUUAAUUAAGAUGAGUGAGUUUAAAAUUAAGUUAAAACUUCAACCUCACCGUAAGUCUGGCAAACAAUGGAGGAUAACUUGUUUUGUGGAGAUGAAGGUUUUGUUGUUUUUGUUGGUUAAGGCUUCACAUUGAUUUCUCACAAGGAGGCUGCAAGCAGAUUCUCCAGCAAAUUGGCAUCCUGUGGAGAGCCAGGUACUCUGAAAAUUUCUAAUUAGGAGAAGUUAAAGGUUAUAUAAGCCCAGCUACCAAACUGACUGCCUAACCUUAACAGCCAAACGGAUUUACCUUUCUUUCCUUUCUUCUUCUUAUCAGAGACCUGGUCUGGAAAUAAAUCUCAAAAUACAAACAGAAAGUUCUGUGAUAAAUCAGGUCUGAGAAGUAGAAGGGAGCUUGUUAGGGUUUAACCAAUGCUGUGACUCAUGCAAGACUUUAUAUCUAAACACUCAUAUUCACGGGUAGUCCUGAUUUUGGCUUUGGUGUGAACUAAUCCAGAGAGAGGACAAAAACAUGCAGCAGGCUGUAUUGUGCCAACAGAACUUCUGUCGCUUAAGCAUAUUCACAUUUCUGAAAGCAGGAUAAUUUCAGUCUGGAGUCACAGAUCUUACUGCCUAUAAAAAAACCCAAUUAGGACCACCACUAUGGAUACUGCCCAAUUUUAGAAAUAAUUAUCCUUGGGGGGGAAAAAAGCCUCUAAUCAUCUGUUUAGUAAAAGUUAGUUCAGCAGUUGUGAUUCAGAAGACAUUCCUAACCCAAUUUUCACCUGUCUUUACCAGCCUGGAGAUCAUACUAUAGUUAUUCAUAAAUUACAAUGGAUCCAAAUUCUAUCCUUUUUAAACAGGAGCUAUUUUGCUCCAAAAUGAUUCUGGUUAUUUCUAGGAGCCUCCAAACAGGUGUUUUUUCCCAUAUUAAAAAUAGAGCUUUCACCACUAUAUGGUACCAUUAAUUAAUUAAUUAAUUAAUUAAUUAAUAUAUGUUGAGCGUUUCCUGUGUGAAGGGUUUUGGCAGAGUCUUACAGAUAGCUCAGUCCUGGCCCUCUUGGGGCAUUCAUAGUAUUUUUCUUGGAAAGCUCCGGUUAUCAUUUGUCAGCAUUGAUUGCCAGGAAGCAGCUGGAUGGAAUUUUUAUCACUGUCUCUGCUGAGGACGUCCCCUGUGAAACACUUGACCAAGAAUACGGGAAGAAUGGGAAGAAUGCUACCGCUCAGCGUUCCGAAGUCUCCAAUCUUGAGUGCUGGAGUGAGGCUGGAUUCCGUGAAGAGGUGGAGAAAAUGGCCUUCCUCAAUCCUGUGCUCCUUUCUGACAUCUGUUUCCAAAUCAGGGCUGUUUCUUCAUGAAAAAAAUUUUCUGUAGCUUCUGGGGCUCAAAAUCUGUCCGGAUAGAGGCUCAGUGUCAUGUUUUCAUCUUUAUCAUCCCUCUUGCCAAACCCAGUUACUGAACUAUGGCACGUCAAUGAUCGCGACCAAAUUAUUUUCCAGGUGUUUGUAGUUGUGAGCAUAUUAGGAGUGUCUGGGCCCCAGCUGAAAUGGCCUGUUGGAUUAUGUAGCAUAAUUCAAAUUCUUGCCCAGCAACCUAGCAUAUAAAAUGUAACCCCUUAAAGAUUUUGCCCAGAGCUAUAGCGCAUCUAGAGCGAGGUGUGUUACUGGGUCUAGAGUGGCAACAAAUUCUUGGAGGAAUUGACAAGAGUUUGGUAUGGUUACCUCUAGAAGAUCCAAAGCAAAGUGGGAAGCGUGGUCAGGAAAAGGAGUCUGGCCUGAAAUACUGAGAAAUCAAGCUGUCAGGGAGAAUGCAUGACAACCUAGAAGGACCAAAAAAAAGACAAAGAAAACCAACCAACGAACUAACCAAUUAAAAACAGACAGAACCAAUCAAAAUUGUUACUGAGCAGUCAGCCCGGUAAACACUAAGGAAAAAAUGAAGUAAAAUUCAAUCAGUACCAUGUCUGACCUAUUUCAUGGGUAUCCACUCUCACCUUGCAUGUUUAAAGAAUGGUCUUAUUUGGGGUGCCUGGUUGGCUCAAUGGGUUAAGCUUCUGCCUUCAGCUCAGGUCAUGAUCUCAAGGCUCUGGGAUGGAGCCCCACAUUGGGCUCUCUCCUCAGCAGGGAGCCUGCUUCCCCCUCUCUCUCUGCCUGCCUCUCUCCCUACUUGUGAUCUCUGCCUGUUAAAAAAAUAAAAGUCUUAUUCAGGACACCUGGGUGGCUCAGUCAGUUAAGCGUCUGCCUUCAGCUCAGUUCAUGAUCCCAGGGUCCUGGGAUCGAGCCCCACAUCGGGCUCUCUGCUCUGUGGAGAGCCUGCUUCCUCCUCUCUCUCUGCCUGCCUCUCUGCCUACUUGUGAUCUUCGUCUGUCAAAUAAAUAAAUAAAAUCUUAAAAAAAUGUUUACAUUAGAAGGUAAUAUGUAUUUUUAUAAAUAAUUUUUUAAAACAUGGAAGUAAAUUUGCAAAAUUAAAAAAAAAGUGUCUUCCUGUCCUACUGUAAUUCCCACUCACCAGAGGUAGGCACUGAUGAAUUUGGAGUGUAUCUUUCUUGUCUUUCUCCUUUGCAUAUACGUCUUCUUCCUAGACCAGGGAAUCAUACUACAUAAACUGUUCUACAGUUUGGCUUUUGUCACUAAAUAAUUUAAAUUGGGUAUCUCUGCCUGUCAGUAAAUAAAGGGCUAUAUCCUUUUUUUAAGGAUAAAAAUAUAUCAUCUUCCACUAUAUUGAUGUAACAUUAUUUAUUUAUUCCAUCCCCUUUUGAUGGACAUUUGGAUUAUUUCCAAUUUUUUAUUAUGACCAAUAGUGCUCCAGCAAACAUCUUUAUACACUGAUAUCUAUGUACUUACCCAAGCAUUUUGGGAGAUAAGUUCCUGGAAAUAGAAUUGCUUGGUCAGAUGGUAUUGGCAUUUAGCAUUUUGAUAAAUAUCCCCCAAAUUACCUCUAGAAUGUUUGCAACAAUUUACACUCCCACGAGGAUGACUAAGUGCGCCUGAUUCCCUACCUGCUCUUACUCUGUAUCCAGGCCCUGACUGGGGAACUAGAGAAUGUGUCUCUUGCUUCAGAAAGACAUGGUGCUAAAGACCUUGCCUCAAGCUCUUACCUUCUUUUAUUUUCUCUCUACUUUUCAUAACUGUGGUUUAAUUCUAGGACAGGAAAAAAGAAAUAUGCCUGUUUGGUUUUCAGGAAGUUCCUCAAAGAUCCAGACAUUCUGCAAAUUAUGAGCACGUAAAUUACAGAUAAACCGUUCAUUUAGUCCCAAAAGGUAAGCGCCCUGAGGCAGGAAGAUGCUUCCUUUCAGACCCUAGAGAUGGAAACAUCCCUUCCCUACGUUUCCGUGUGAACUGCUCCUUUGCUCACGCGUGCAUGAGUCUGUGCAUUGUUCCUCCUUGCAGGCCUGCGUUCACCAACAUUUACUCUAAGUUUGCUCAGUUCUGGGUACUGUGCUAACCCCUGUGGCUAUGGGAAUGAAAUGCAGUUUCUGCCUUCAAGAAGACCACAAUCUAGCUUCACGAAAAAACCGAAGAGGAGACCCACAGGUGUGAUCGAGAGCAGAAGUGCUGCUUUCAUUCACAUCAGUGCAGGGUGCCCCAAGAGUGAUGGACUGGGCUAAGUGCCCCCCGGAGGGGAAGGGCUACAGAAAAGACCAGGAAUGUGGUUCUGGGAGGGCCCACGCAACUACCACAUCUAACCCAGUCAGGGAGGAAGUGAGGAAGAAGCUGGGGACUGGGCAUCCCGAAGGGUAAUCUUUGACCAGCAGCUCUGUUAGAGGCAGGAAGAGAAGCUGGAAGAGAUAAGGAGAUUAUGAUGUCAUCUGUCGAAAUUGGCAAGACUCAGUACCUCUGUCCCUGUGGGCCGGCACCUGAGAUGUUUCACUUUGUUGACUUAUAGGAACCCUGUGGAGACGGGGUGGGUAUAGAACGCCAGGAGGGUGAGAGUCAGAGUCCGCUCUAGAAUGAACAGUAACCCAUUCUGUUGUUUUUAUCCUAGUUCAGACCUGUGGAAAAAUACAUUUAUGGAUAACUCACAAGAAUCAAAUUUGGAAACAGCCUAAAUGUCCACUCACAGGAGAUAAAUUAAAUAAUACAUGGUGUGUCAGCUGUGACAUCACAAAGCAAACUCCCAGAUGGCACCGACUGAAUCCUUUAUCAGCUUCGUUAGCACUGAUGCCAGAAUGAAACUGGCCCAGCAACCUCAUCAAAAUUUCCACGCUAACGGGUAGACCCUUGGGAAUGAAGCUAUUCCAGGUGCAGAACGGGGUCCAUUUGACCUAGAAGCUUUGGCAGAGGGAGCAGACACAGUAUUCACUAUGUUGAUUCGAUCAUCAAGCAACUAUCAAGUGGCUUUAAUUUUCACAUCACCCAUUUCUACCUUCUGUUUUGUACCUUGUUUCCCUUUGUUGUCACCCUUCCACUCACUUGGUAUGACCUUGACUGAGAAGCUCAUUUAAUACUUUACUACUGAUAAGCAACUGAUGGUUCUGACCUUUUUAAAAAGCUAGCAUUCUGAUUUAAGGAUGAACUAACAAAAACAUAAAUAAAAGGUAGCCACAUAUUAAA
This is a long non-coding RNA of Mustela lutreola (European mink), 5166 nucleotides long. RefSeq lists it as uncharacterized. The transcript has 4 exons. NCBI's taxonomy places the organism in Eukaryota, Metazoa, Chordata, Mammalia, Carnivora, Mustelidae. The record is from RefSeq and is a predicted model, not a curated record.